UGGGGAAUAUUGCACAUUGGAGGGAACUCUGAUGCAGCGAUGCCGCGUGAACGAAGAAGGCUUUCGGGUCGUAAAGUUCUUUUAUAUGGGAAGAUAAUGUCGGUACCCUAAGAAAAAGACCCGGCUAACUCCGUGUCAGCAGCCGCGGUAAUACGGAGGGGGCUAGCGUUGUCCGGAAUCACUGGGCGUAAAGGGUUCGCAGGCGGAAAUGGAAGUCAGGUGUAAAAGGCAGUAGCUUAACUACUGUAAGCAUUUGAAACUGCAUAUCUUGGGAAGAGGAGAGGUAAGUGGAAUUUUUAGUGGAGCGGGGAAAUGCGUAGAUAUUCAAAAGAAAACCGGUGGCGAAGGCGACUUACUGUGCUCAUUCUGCCGCAGAAGAACGAAAGAGUGGGUAGCAAACAGG
This 403-nucleotide ribosomal RNA is filed under the name Fusobacteriota bacterium. RNAcentral describes it as "Fusobacteria bacterium partial 16S ribosomal RNA". It matches the Rfam family "Bacterial small subunit ribosomal RNA", at positions 355 to 776 of the family's 1533-position model. Lineage: Bacteria; Fusobacteriati; Fusobacteriota. The record is from RNAcentral.